RNAcentral lists this ribosomal RNA (445 nucleotides) under uncultured bacterium. RNAcentral's name for it is "bacterial SSU rRNA". It matches the Rfam family "Bacterial small subunit ribosomal RNA", at positions 354 to 796 of the family's 1533-position model. The record is from RNAcentral.
GUAAGGAAUAUUGGUCAAUGGACGCAAGUCUGAACCAGCCAUGCCGCGUGAAGGAUGAAGGUCCUCUGGAUUGUAAACUUCUUUUAUAGGGGAAGAAACCCGGAAAUUCUUUUUCGGUUGACGGUACCCUGGGAAUAAGCACCGGCUAACUCCGUGCCAGCAGCCGCGGUAAUACGGAGGGUGCAAGCGUUAUCCGGAUUCACUGGGUUUAAAGGGUGCGUAGGUGGAUCUGUAAGUCAGUGGUGAAAUCUCCAAGCUUAACUUGGAAACUGCCGUUGAUACUAUAGAUCUUGAAUGCUGUGGAGGUGAGCGGAAUAUGUCAUGUAGCGGUGAAAUGCUUAGAUAUGACAUAGAACACCAAUUGCGAAGGCAGCUCACUACCCAGAUAUUGACACUGAGGCACGAAAGCGUGGGGAUCAAACAGGAUUAGAAACCCUUGUAGUCC